Molecule: transfer RNA, 91 nt
Filed under: Candidatus Omnitrophota bacterium
Lineage: Bacteria; Pseudomonadati; Candidatus Omnitrophota
Description: Candidatus Omnitrophica bacterium tRNA-Ser
Rfam family: tRNA
About the family: Transfer RNA (tRNA) molecules are approximately 80 nucleotides in length.
Source: RNAcentral
GGAGAGGUGGUCGAGUCUGGUUUAAGGCGCCGGUCUCGAAAACCGGUGUGGGCUUUGCUCACCGAGGGUUCGAAUCCCUCCCUCUCCGCCA